This 935-nucleotide long non-coding RNA is filed under the name Marmota monax (woodchuck). Lineage: Eukaryota; Metazoa; Chordata; Mammalia; Rodentia; Sciuridae. The record is from RNAcentral.
AAUGAAAUAUCCAGUACAGGCAAACCAUAGAAAUAGAAGGCCAAUUACUGGUUGAAAGGGGCUGAGGGAAGAGAAUGGGGGUAACUGCUUAAUAGCCAUAGGGCUUCAUUUGGGAUGAUGAGAAAGUUCUGGAACCAGCUAGUGGUGAUGGUUGUACAACAUCGUUAAUGUACUUAAUGACACUGAAUUGUGUAUUUCGUGGUUAAAAUGAUAAACUUUAUGUGAUGUGUAUUUUACCAUAAUAAAAAGGUUAAUCUGAAGCCAGAUGCGGACACCUAUAAUCCCAGUGGCUCAGGAGGCUGAGGCAGGAGGAUCAUGGGUUCAAAGCCAGCUUCAGCAAAAGCAAGGCACUAAACAACUCAGUGAGACCCUGUGUCUAAAUAAAAUACAGAAUAUGGAGAUAUGGCUCAGAGGUCAAGUGCUCCUGAGUUCAAUCCCCAGUACCAAAAAAAAAGUUAUUCUGUCACCACAUCAGAUGAGCUACUCCAGGGGUAAUGGGCAGCAUAAGAUUAGUGGAUUCUUAUUAUGAGCAUGAACCCAUUGCUGCUUUAUUUACAGUAAAAAAAUUAUAUUCUGGGUUUAAAUAAAUACUGUGUACAAAGCAGGAUGGUGACUAAAGUGAUGUGUAACCAUAUGGUUUUCAGAGAAGCAUUUUAGACAAGGAAGGAAAUUGAUUUCCAGAAGUGUCUAUAAGAAAACUAGGGCUGGGUAUGAGUGGCCAAAUGUAAUGUGCCUGAUAACUGAGGGAUGCCUCCGGGGAAUAGUGAUUUAUUUUUUGGUCUCUGCUGUUGGCAAGUUAGGCACUCAGUGAUAGCUGUUGACCUUUUUUGAGUGAAAAUUCAUCUACUGAGCUCAUGUAAAAACCUUCAUCCUGCCACUAAAGCCACUUUCUUUAUGAAUCCAUUAGGCAAGGAUAAGAAUAGACGGGGAGAAGG